RNAcentral lists this ribosomal RNA (1371 nucleotides) under Curtobacterium flaccumfaciens. RNAcentral describes it as "partial 16S ribosomal RNA". It matches the Rfam family "Bacterial small subunit ribosomal RNA". RNAcentral also lists the same sequence under 1 other name. The record is from RNAcentral. Lineage: Bacteria; Bacillati; Actinomycetota; Actinomycetes; Micrococcales; Microbacteriaceae.
GCAGUCGAACGAUGAUGCCCAGCUUGCUGGGUGGAUUAGUGGCGAACGGGUGAGUAACACGUGAGUAACCUGCCCCUGACUCUGGGAUAAGCGUUGGAAACGACGUCUAAUACUGGAUAUGAUCACUGGCCGCAUGGUCUGGUGGUGGAAAGAUUUUUUGGUUGGGGAUGGACUCGCGGCCUAUCAGCUUGUUGGUGAGGUAAUGGCUCACCAAGGCGACGACGGGUAGCCGGCCUGAGAGGGUGACCGGCCACACUGGGACUGAGACACGGCCCAGACUCCUACGGGAGGCAGCAGUGGGGAAUAUUGCACAAUGGGCGAAAGCCUGAUGCAGCAACGCCGCGUGAGGGAUGACGGCCUUCGGGUUGUAAACCUCUUUUAGUAGGGAAGAAGCGAAAGUGACGGUACCUGCAGAAAAAGCACCGGCUAACUACGUGCCAGCAGCCGCGGUAAUACGUAGGGUGCAAGCGUUGUCCGGAAUUAUUGGGCGUAAAGAGCUCGUAGGCGGUUUGUCGCGUCUGCUGUGAAAUCCCGAGGCUCAACCUCGGGCUUGCAGUGGGUACGGGCAGACUAGAGUGCGGUAGGGGAGAUUGGAAUUCCUGGUGUAGCGGUGGAAUGCGCAGAUAUCAGGAGGAACACCGAUGGCGAAGGCAGAUCUCUGGGCCGUAACUGACGCUGAGGAGCGAAAGCAUGGGGAGCGAACAGGAUUAGAUACCCUGGUAGUCCAUGCCGUAAACGUUGGGCGCUAGAUGUAGGGACCUUUCCACGGUUUCUGUGUCGUAGCUAACGCAUUAAGCGCCCCGCCUGGGGAGUACGGCCGCAAGGCUAAAACUCAAAGGAAUUGACGGGGGCCCGCACAAGCGGCGGAGCAUGCGGAUUAAUUCGAUGCAACGCGAAGAACCUUACCAAGGCUUGACAUACACCGGAAACGGCCAGAGAUGGUCGCCCCCUUGUGGUCGGUGUACAGGUGGUGCAUGGUUGUCGUCAGCUCGUGUCGUGAGAUGUUGGGUUAAGUCCCGCAACGAGCGCAACCCUCGUUCUAUGUUGCCAGCGGGUUAUGCCGGGGACUCAUAGGAGACUGCCGGGGUCAACUCGGAGGAAGGUGGGGAUGACGUCAAAUCAUCAUGCCCCUUAUGUCUUGGGCUUCACGCAUGCUACAAUGGCCGGUACAAAGGGCUGCGAUACCGUAAGGUGGAGCGAAUCCCAAAAAGCCGGUCUCAGUUCGGAUUGAGGUCUGCAACUCGACCUCAUGAAGUCGGAGUCGCUAGUAAUCGCAGAUCAGCAACGCUGCGGUGAAUACGUUCCCGGGCCUUGUACACACCGCCCGUCAAGUCAUGAAAGUCGGUAACACCCGAAGCCGGUGGCCUAACC